GACGAACGCUGGCGGCGUGCUUAACACAUGCAAGUCGAACGGAAAGGCCCUGCUUUUGUGGGGUGCUCGAGUGGCGAACGGGUGAGUAACACGUGAGUAACCUGCCCUUGACUUUGGGAUAACUUCAGGAAACUGGGGCUAAUACCGGAUAGGAGCUCCUGCUGCAUGGUGGGGGUUGGAAAGUUUCGGCGGUUGGGGAUGGACUCGCGGCUUAUCAGCUUGUUGGUGGGGUAGGGGCUUACCAAGGCUUUGACGGGUAGCCGGCCUGAGAGGGUGACCGGCCACAUUGGGACUGAGAUACGGCCCAGACUCCUACCGGAGGCAGCAGUGGGGAAUAUUGCACAAUGGGCGGAAGCCUGAUGCAGCGACGCCGCGUGCGGGAUGACGGCCUUCGGGUUGUAAACCGCUUUCGCCUGUGACGAAGCGUGAGUGACGGUAAUGGGUAAAGAAGCACCGGCUAACUACGUG
RNAcentral lists this ribosomal RNA (468 nucleotides) under uncultured bacterium. Its description in RNAcentral is "partial 16S ribosomal RNA". It matches the Rfam family "Bacterial small subunit ribosomal RNA", at positions 28 to 507 of the family's 1533-position model. The record is from RNAcentral.